UGAGACAUAAGGAUUGCCACAAGUUUC
This 27-nucleotide non-coding RNA is filed under the name Mus musculus (house mouse). Lineage: Eukaryota; Metazoa; Chordata; Mammalia; Rodentia; Muridae. The record is from RNAcentral.